Long non-coding RNA from Xiphias gladius (swordfish), 182 nucleotides. RefSeq lists it as uncharacterized. The transcript has 3 exons. The record is from RefSeq and is a predicted model, not a curated record. NCBI's taxonomy places the organism in Eukaryota, Metazoa, Chordata, Actinopteri, Istiophoriformes, Xiphiidae.
CUUCAAGAACUUCAAGCAAGUCCAGUUGCCUUCGCAUAGCACAGAAUUAUUCCCCUUGGCUCCUCCUUCAGUAUUUCUCACUCUCCUACACCAAAAGUAUCCAGUGACAUUAAUACCAACAGUGGUAUAGUGGUGAGCGUGUCUGCCUUUCAAGCAGUUGUAGGUACGGCGCAAGUUACAGG